Molecule: non-coding RNA, 71 nt
Organism: Phrynosoma platyrhinos (Desert horned lizard)
Lineage: Eukaryota; Metazoa; Chordata; Lepidosauria; Squamata; Phrynosomatidae
Source: the annotation of a GenBank genome assembly
GACAUGGUGGAUCAGUGGUUAAGACACCAACUCUGACUGUGGAGACCAGGGUUCAAAUCCUUGCUUGGCCA